Molecule: long non-coding RNA, 200 nt
Filed under: Elaeis guineensis (African oil palm)
Lineage: Eukaryota; Viridiplantae; Streptophyta; Magnoliopsida; Arecales; Arecaceae
Description: long non-coding RNA (EGUI_LNC040074)
Source: RNAcentral
CUCCAAUAUUGAAUUAAUUACCAACCCCUUUGAAUACAUAACUUGCACCUUGAUAGGCUUGAUUCCUUUUUCAACACACUAAGAUAUUCAAAUAUUUUCAUACCACUUAAAUCAUAAUCUCAAAUGAUCAUGAACCUUGGCUCUCUUCCAAUUGAUCAUAAACCUUUGCUUUAUAGGCCCAUACAAUCUAUUAACCUUUG